Molecule: long non-coding RNA, 447 nt
Organism: Archocentrus centrarchus (flier cichlid)
Lineage: Eukaryota; Metazoa; Chordata; Actinopteri; Cichliformes; Cichlidae
Exons: 3
Source: RefSeq, a predicted model, not a curated record
GGAAGCUUCCAGAAACCCUGUGGACUUACACAUUGGAAGAAGCUAAUCUUCUCUAAAGACCAGUGAUGUUGUUGCCAUGAGGACUGCUGUCCUGCGAUGUCUCUCGGUUUUCCUCGGGGAUGAUGAAAGAGACUUCUACAAUGUCUCUUUUGAUUCAGAUGCCGUGGCAGACUUCACCCAGGUUCCCGUGGGAUUAUUGCCUGUUAUUCCUGAAGUCAGUCAGCAACCAGGUCCGAAUGCUCUUCACCUUGAACCAUCCAGCAUGUUAUCAUUCUGGAAGGUACAAUUGUCAUGGUUGACACUGAUCAUGCUGUUUGCCUCAUAUUUGGACUGACCUGUGUCCUUCAUCCUGACUGUACAAAAUGCCUAAAAAACACCUUUGACUUCAUUCAGAGGCUGAUGCUCAGUCUGGUUUCUUUUUUAUGCCAUUACUUGUAUUUCUAUGUU